Molecule: non-coding RNA, 74 nt
Organism: Merluccius polli (Benguela hake)
Lineage: Eukaryota; Metazoa; Chordata; Actinopteri; Gadiformes; Merlucciidae
Source: the annotation of a GenBank genome assembly
GUCCAGGUGGCGCAACAUGGAGAGCUGCAGGUUGUUGGCCUGCAGGCCAAGGGUUCAAGUCCCGGCAUGGGACA